This 87-nucleotide transfer RNA is filed under the name bacterium. RNAcentral's name for it is "tRNA-Ser". It matches the Rfam family "tRNA". From Rfam's summary of the family: Transfer RNA (tRNA) molecules are approximately 80 nucleotides in length. Their secondary structure includes four short double-helical elements and three loops (D, anti-codon, and T loops). The record is from RNAcentral. RNAcentral also lists the same sequence under 2 other names.
GGAGAGAUGCGAGAGUGGUUGAAUCGGACGGUCUCGAAAACCGCUGAACCCGUAAGGGUUCCGGGGGUUCGAAUCCCCCUCUCUCCG